RNAcentral lists this small RNA (844 nucleotides) under Pan troglodytes (chimpanzee). RNAcentral describes it as "processed transcript". The record is from RNAcentral. Lineage: Eukaryota; Metazoa; Chordata; Mammalia; Primates; Hominidae.
AUGUCACAUGCACUGGCUGUGCUAGCUUCCACCUGGGCUCCAACUGCCAGACGCCCCCAGAGCUUCACACAAGCUAUCGCUGACUGCCAGUGCAUGUUGGAAAUGGGCCACAGGGCUGGGCAUGAUAUGAGCUGCCUGGACAUUGGAGGGGGCUUCCCCAGAAUGAAGGGCUCCAGGCCCAAGUUUGAGGAGUUGGUGAGAGUGAUCAGUGCUGCCCUGGCCCAGGACCUCCCUGAGGAGCGUGGUGUCAAGGUCAUCGCAGAGCCUGGCUGCUUCUAUGUGGAGUCUGUCUGCACGGCCGUUGUCAACAUCAGUGCCAAGAGGGCUGUGCUGGAGCCCGGAGGCAGCCAGAAGCUGAUGUAUUAUCUCAACAAUGGCCACUAUGGCUCCUUCCGCCUCUGCCACCGAGAGCCUGUCCCAAGGGUUUCCAUCGUGGUGAAGGUAAGGGGGCCACUCCAGCCCCAAGUCUAUUCCCUUACCUUGAGGUGCCUUGUGCCUCCCCCACUGGGAACAGUGGCUGUGCUGGACCCCAGAGGCAGGUCCUGGCCUGCUGCUUAGAGCACACGUGGACACGUACAUGAUGUGUGCUCACAGAUCAAAGCAUGUGCAGCAGCUGGAUAUGUGGGCCUCCUCAGGCAAAGGGGCGAUCACCAGAACACAAAGGCGUGGGCUGUUUUCCAAAAUAUUGAAGUUCUUCUCCCUGGUGGCUUAAGAGCCAUUCCUUCUCCCUAGUGGUUAAAGAGCUAUUCCCCCGAGUCCACCAGGGGCCUCCCUGCCGACACCCUUGCUGCUCAGUCCCUCCCAUGAUCUGGCAACAAAGCUUCAAUACCUGACCCUGUAGGGC